This 333-nucleotide ribosomal RNA is filed under the name uncultured bacterium. Its description in RNAcentral is "bacterial SSU rRNA". It matches the Rfam family "Bacterial small subunit ribosomal RNA", at positions 1 to 334 of the family's 1533-position model. The record is from RNAcentral.
AGUGUAGAUUCAGAGUUUGAUCCUGGCUCAGGACGAACGCUGGCGGCGUGCUUAACACAUGCAAGUCGAGCGGUAAGGCCCUUCGGGGUACACGAGCGGCGAACGGGUGAGUAACACGUGAGUAAUCUGCCCUUCACUUCGGGAUAACUACCGGAAACGGUGGCUAAUACCGGAUAUGACUCCCUUCCGCAUGGUUGGGGGUGGAAAGUUCCGGCGGUGGAGGAUGUGCUCGCGGCCUAUCAGCUUGUUGGUGAGGUAAUGGCUCACCAAGGCUUCGACGGGUAGCCGGCCUGAGAGGGUGACCGGCCACACUGGGACUGAGACACGGCCCAG